GGAGUUUGGGCCGUGUCUCAGUCCCAAUGUGGCCGUUCAUCCUCUCAGACCGGCUACUGAUCGUCGCCUUGGUAGGCCGUUGCCCCACCAACCAGCUAAUCAGACGCAGACCCAUCGCAAAGCGAUAGCUUACAAGUAGAGGCCAUCUUUAAUAUCAUCUCCAUGCGGAAACGAUACAACAUUCGGUAUUAGCAGUCCUUUCGGACUGUUGUCCCCAUCUUUGCGGCAGGUUGUCUACGCGUUACUCACCCGUUUGCCACUCGACUUUCAAAAGCAAGCUUUCAAUCGUCUCGUUCGACUUGCAUGUGUUAAGCACGCCGCCAGCGUUCGUCCUCGAGCCAGGAGUCAAACUACU
RNAcentral lists this ribosomal RNA (355 nucleotides) under uncultured Selenomonas sp. Its description in RNAcentral is "partial 16S ribosomal RNA". The record is from RNAcentral. Lineage: Bacteria; Bacillati; Bacillota; Negativicutes; Selenomonadales; Selenomonadaceae.